Molecule: ribosomal RNA, 147 nt
Filed under: Acinetobacter baumannii ABNIH20
Lineage: Bacteria; Pseudomonadati; Pseudomonadota; Gammaproteobacteria; Moraxellales; Moraxellaceae
Description: partial 16S ribosomal RNA
Rfam family: Bacterial small subunit ribosomal RNA
Source: RNAcentral
AACUGAAGAGUUUGAUCAUGGCUCAGAUUGAACGCUGGCGGCAGGCUUAACACAUGCAAGUCGAGCGGGGGAAGGUAGCUUGCUACUGGACCUAGCGGCGGACGGGUGAGUAAUGCUUAGGAAUCUGCCUAUUAGUGGGGGGACAAC